UGGCGAACGGGUGAGUAACACGUGGGUGAUCUGCCCUGCACUUCGGGAUAAGCCUGGGAAACUGGGUCUAAUACCGGAUAGGACGAUGGUUUGGAUGCCAUUGUGGAAAGUUUUUCGGUGUGGGAUGAGCUCGCGGCCUAUCAUCUUGUUGGUGGGGUAAUGGCCUACCAAGGCGUCGACGGGUAGCCGGCCUGAGAGGGUGUACGGCCACAUUGGGACUGAGAUACGGCCCAG
RNAcentral lists this ribosomal RNA (234 nucleotides) under uncultured Actinomycetales bacterium. RNAcentral describes it as "partial 16S ribosomal RNA". It matches the Rfam family "Bacterial small subunit ribosomal RNA", at positions 96 to 334 of the family's 1533-position model. The record is from RNAcentral. Lineage: Bacteria; Bacillati; Actinomycetota; Actinomycetes; Actinomycetales.